RNAcentral lists this unclassified non-coding RNA (365 nucleotides) under Hevea brasiliensis (rubber tree). The record is from RNAcentral. Lineage: Eukaryota; Viridiplantae; Streptophyta; Magnoliopsida; Malpighiales; Euphorbiaceae.
AAUUAAAAAAUAAAAAAUUAAAUUAACUGAAGUGUUAAGAAAAAAAUCGAAUCAAAUCAAACUAAAAAAGAAAAAGGAGCUUAAAGCAAGGCGAACAACAGCAAGAUGACAUUAAAUGGAUGACGACGAAGAUAACCAGAUGAGUUUGGUUUAGGGUGGAUAAUUGUCUACGACAAUAUCGACUUGGAAAUGAAGACGAGAUGGCAUUGAAUCAAUGACAAGCAAGAACUCACCGAGAGAAAGGAAUUGAGGGGCAAGUACAGUGCAAGCAGUAACAGAAGUAUAGAGAAAGAGAGGAGAAGAAGGAAUGGGAUGGAUUAGACUUAAGGCGAAGAAGAAGAAAUGGUACCUGAGCUUGCUGUGAU